GGAUUCUCCCUCGUCAUUUCAUAGUCUCGAAGAAAAGCAUCCACAAUUGGUCAGUUUUCUUUUUCUUAUUAAAUCCCAUAAGCUAGUUGGCUUGCCUUAUGAUGUAGGCGUAGGCUUGUGCGUGAUAUGGAUUUGCUUUCUGAAUAAAUGAAUGUUAUAAUUUCUUUUGGAUGCUUUUAUUAUCUUCUUUUGAAGUGGCAAAAGGUUGAGGUGUGAUAAAAAGUAUCUGCUGUGCAUUUAGAUUUGUAGUCUAUUGCUUUUGUUUGUGGGCAGAAUCCAUGCAUAAUUUUAGCUGCCAGGGAAUGUAAUGCAGCAAUUAAGUCGUGAAUAGUGAGAUGCCAUUUCAUCAACUUGGUAACUUGCAGAAGUCGAAAUGCUAGGUCUUUCUAUCUUUUCUUUUCUGUUAUGAUUUUCUUGGAUGUGUUUGUACUCGGGAUAGCUUCAUAUUAUCGGCUUGAGAAAUAGUGUGAACCUAGCAUUCUUGGGUGGUCCCUUUCUGUCAGUGUGCUGUGUUUCUGUUGGUGCACAUCUGCACUGAACAAAUAGCACUGAAGCUCCAGCAGUUACUGAAGUACCUAACUGGCUGGUGAAUUCAUAGGGGAACUCAUAAAAAUAUUGUUUGAGUUUUGAAGAUUUGAGAGUCCCACUGCCUUCUGAUUCUGUGGCUGCGCUUUUCAUAUAUUCAGAUUCUUAGGCGAGAAAGUGGCCCUUUUCAGUUUAUAUCCAUGUACAGGCUUCUUAGGUGCCUCUGCCUAAUAGAUAAUUUACCGGCUCCGCUUCUCUUUACGUAGAUUUGAUCUAUCCAUAAGAGGGAGCUUUCUUUCAUUCCACAUAUGGUUCGGACUUUAGAAAUUGCUUAUAUAGAUGGUUUUUUGCCUUAUACUACGUUGAUUUAAAAUAGAAGGGUUUUUGACUAUAAUGAGAUGUUUAAUUGGUUACAACGGUAUUUCAUAUAGAGUUAUAGCCUCAUGGCUAACUAUUUUCUCGAGUUGGUCUGGUGACUGAGAAUUGUGGAGAAUGCACACAUGUCCUUGUCGAUCAACUUGUGCAAGUCGAGGAUAUUUUGCUUGAUGCAGUUGAGGCCAAGAAACAUUUCGUGCAUAGUAGCUGGCUUGAGGUAAAAUUAUAUUGAACAUCUCCCAGGGCUACUUUCUGCUUGUCACUUGGCAAUCUAGUUAGACAUUAUAACUGAUGAUUUUUCAUUUUCUUUAUGGAUUUAAUUUGACAAACCUACUGGGCAUUCCCUUCAAAAUAGUUCCACUAAUCCUGAUCUGUCUCAUGUAUGUGUUCACAUAUUUCUCAUGGUCUAUAGUUUUCCUAGCGUUAUCUGUUAUUGGUAAGACAAAUCCACCUCUAGUUCUUUGGUUUACGUAGCUAGCUGUUUGGUGGCUAGUGUUUUGAAAGGUGGAAGGUUUAAGGUGUGAUUCAAGGUACAAAAUUGCAGUGUUCUGUGGGAUUGUUGGAGCAGAUUCUGCCUUUUAAGGGAUUUUCUUCUUUUUCAAAGUCAAUUUUUGUUCUGUUAAUUAUUGUCGCGACCAAUUUUUUCGGGUGUGAACCACCUAGGGUUUGGCUAAUGGAUUGUUAAGCCUAAACUUAACUCGGGCUCUCCCAAGCCCAUACCAAUUCACGAUUUUCGGUUCAAGUUCUUAACAUGCAAAUUUUUUUUAAUUUGGAGUCGCCACUAAUCUAUUUUAAUCUAUUUUUGGUGAGUCGAUUAGAAACCCAAGUAAAGUAAUAGGAGUUUUACUUUACUCCUACGAACCAGAGAUUUGUGAGUCCGGGGACUUGGUUACACUACAUUUCUCUAAUGCCCUUUCGGUACCAUUCUUUUAAUUUCAAAAAUGUUUUUUGCAGGCAGCUUGAAUUGAUUUUAAAUUCUAACAUGUGAGGUGACCAUGCAGGUGCGCAAACCACCAAUUUAACACUCAAGAAAGCAAAUGAAUAAAUUGCAGGACUUACCUCAUAGCAACGAAAGCAUCUGCGUUGUUAGUUUAGAAUUCACAUUAGCAGUCCUAAAUAUGAUUUCUAAUUAACAGGCAAUUUUUGUUUUGUUUUCACUUAAUUAAUGAAAAUCAUGCAAUAUGCAAUGCAUGCCACUAAUUUAACAUGAAAUGAUAUGACAUGGCAACAUGACUUAGCUAUAUGACCUAAGCAAUAUGACAUAACUAAGCAUGUGGUCUAUCCUAAGCAUGAGAUGAUUUAUUCUAAAUAAUUUUUUUAUUUCCCAUGAGAUUUGAAAUUAAAAAAAUGCAACACUUAAAUAUGCAAUCUAAAUUAAUCUAAUGACUUAAUUCUAAUGACGGGCAAUUUCUAAUUAGAAAUAAACCUAACAAUAAUCACUAAAUGACGUGCAUUUCAUGGACCUAAUUCUAUAUGACAUGCAAAUGACAUUUUUUAUUUUGAAAAUGCAAUCUAUCCUAGAAAUUGCAACUAAUUUAUCCUAAGACAAAUUUUAUGAAAUUUGAAAUGAUCUAGCUAGAUUAAGAUUUUAUCUAAUUUAAACUAGGGAUUAAGUCAUAUUAAAUCCUAAUUUAAACUAAGACAUUAUCUAAAUCUAAAAUGCAAUUUAUCUAUAAAAAAUGAUCUAAAUUUAAAAUGAAAUAUGCAAUUCUAAUCUAAUAUGCACAAUGAUUUUUUUUGUGUUUUUCUUUAAGAAAUUCGAAAUUAAAACUAACAUGCAAAACUAACAACCUAAAUAAUUGCACUUUCUUUUUCGGAUUUUUUAUUUAAUAAUUCGAAAUAAGAUUGCAAUCUUAAAUAUGCAAGAUAACAACAAACCUAAUCCUAAUUAAGAUUUUUUUAUUUUUUAUUUUACGAAAAUAAGAUUUGACUCAACCAACUUGACGAUAGCAAAUCAAAUAAGAUAAGAUUGAUAUCCAAAAAUUGGCGAACCAUAUCUCGCGCAUGAGAUCGGGUUGAUCAAUUUUAAAAUUAAAUCGCGAAUCGAAUCUCGGGCUUGAGAUUGGAUUGUCGAUUUUUGUAAGGGAUUGCGAGUCGGAUUUCGGGCGCGAAAAUCGGACUGUCAAUCCCUAGCUUGAUAGUGCUUGAUAGACUAUUUCAUAUUGGGAUAUCAAUAAUAUAUCAAGGAACAAUUCCACUAAAACAGAAUAUUUAAAAAAAGUAAAAUAAAAGAAAAGAAAAACCACCUAAUCAGAUUUUCUUUUUCUUUUUCUGUUUUUCUUCUUUUCCAGACACCGCUCGUGGAUUUCCAAGGGAGCCGGCUAAUCGGUUCGGCAAAGGAGGCUCCGGCCAAGGUGAACCAACGGUGGCAGCAACACAGAAGCAGAGCUAGGGAGGCUCGGGUUCGGACGGGCAGGGGCCGGCGUUGGGCGGAUCAGCGUCGGUGCUCGGCGGCGUGGGCGCGGCAGGCUUAGGCGUUGUGGGUCGUUGUUGAGGCGAACGAGCGGAGCAGCGGCGGGUCGGAUCGAGCGGCAGAGGCUCGGUGAGCGUGGCGGACGGGCCUUGGAGCUGAACUCGGGCGUCGUGGGCGGAGGUCUCGAGGGACGAUGGCCGACGGUAGCGACGGCGGGCUUCGUGUGGCGAGGGAGGCUCAGCUAGCGCCGGUCACGACGGGAGCAGGGAACGCCGAGUGCUGGGUCGCGAGCAGAUCUCAAACGCAGGCGUCGAGGAGCGGACGGAGCGGCGAGACCGGCGGCGAACGGACAACGAGGUGGAGGAGGACGUCGGGCUUCGCGGAGCGGAACAGAGGGUGAGCAGCGAGCUUGGGGAGAUGAUGAACAGUGAGGGUCAAAUCACCUCUGCUUUUUACUUUUCUCCUCUUUCUCUCUCUCUCUCUCUCACGUUCUAACUUUUUCUUUUUUCUGCAGUUUUUCCUUUUUUCUGCUCUUUUCCCUUUCGCAGAA
RNAcentral lists this long non-coding RNA (3863 nucleotides) under Eucalyptus grandis. RNAcentral describes it as "long non-coding RNA (EGRA_LNC005314)". The record is from RNAcentral. Lineage: Eukaryota; Viridiplantae; Streptophyta; Magnoliopsida; Myrtales; Myrtaceae.